This 243-nucleotide ribosomal RNA is filed under the name uncultured Eubacteriales bacterium. Its description in RNAcentral is "uncultured Clostridiales bacterium partial 16S ribosomal RNA". It matches the Rfam family "Bacterial small subunit ribosomal RNA", at positions 91 to 334 of the family's 1533-position model. Lineage: Bacteria; Bacillati; Bacillota; Clostridia; Eubacteriales. The record is from RNAcentral.
AUUAGCGGCGGACGGGUGAGUAACACGUGAGUAACCUGCCUUAGACAUUGGGAUAGCCUCGGGAAACCGGGAUUAAUACCAAAUAAAAUCAUAAUGACACAUGUCAUAACGAUCAAAACUCCGGUGGUCUAAGAUGGACUCGCGUCCCAUUAGCUAGUUGGUAGAGUAAAAGCCUACCAAGGCGACGAUGGGUAGCCGGCCUGAGAGGGUGAACGGCCACAUUGGAACUGAGACACGGUCCAG